GGGCAAGUGGCACAGUGGUAGCGCGCCUGCUUCGCACUUUGGUCGACUGCAUGAGGUCCUGGGUUCAAUCCCCAGCUUGUCCA
Vararia minispora EC-137 is the source of this 83-nucleotide non-coding RNA. The record is from the annotation of a GenBank genome assembly. Lineage: Eukaryota; Fungi; Basidiomycota; Agaricomycetes; Russulales; Lachnocladiaceae.